Molecule: ribosomal RNA, 569 nt
Filed under: uncultured Archaeorhizomycetes
Lineage: Eukaryota; Fungi; Ascomycota; Archaeorhizomycetes
Description: eukaryotic LSU rRNA
Rfam family: Eukaryotic large subunit ribosomal RNA
Source: RNAcentral
UCCCUUAGUAGCGGCGAGCGAAGCGGGAGAAGCUCAAGUUUGAAAUCCGGGUCCUGCCCGGAGUUGUAAGCUGGAGGGACGUCUGCCUAAGUCGCCCGGGCUCAAUUUGCUUGGAACAGCAAGUCACUGAGGGUGAGAACCCCGUCCGUGGCCCGGUGAUUGGCUUUGCAGUGCGGCGGCCCCAAUGAGUCGGGUUGUUUGGGAAUGCAGCUCAAAAUGGGUGGUAAAUUUCAUCUAAAGCUAAAUAUUGGCAAGAGACCGAUAGCGAACAAGUAGAGUGAUCGAAAGAUGAAAAGCACUUUGAAAAGAGAGUGAAACAGUGCGUGAAAUUGUUGAAAGGGAAGGGCUUGGCAUCAGCCCAUGACUUUUGUCCAUCAUCCUGGCUUCUGCCUGGUGCAAUGGUCAAGAGUUGGGCCAGCGUCGGCUCCUUCCGCCCUAGAAAGGCCUUGGGGACGUGGCUCCAUCUGGAGCGUUAUAACCCUUGGCGGCAUGGGGUGAGAUGGGGCCGAGGUCCGCGGCAUAGCCCAGGACGCUGGCGUAAUGGUCCCAAGCGACCCGUCUUGAAACAC